GGGCUGCAACCCGCCCACAUGAAGUCGGAGUUGCUAGUAAUCGCGGAUCAGCAUGCCGCGGUGAAUACGUUCCCGGGCCUUGUACACACCGCCCGUCACACCAUGGGAGUUGGGAGUGCCCAAAGCCGGUGAGGCAACCUUCGGGAGCCAGCCGUCUAAGGCAAGACCAAUGACUGGGGUGAAGUCGUAACAAGGUACC
Molecule: ribosomal RNA, 199 nt
Filed under: uncultured bacterium
Lineage: Bacteria
Description: partial 16S ribosomal RNA
Rfam family: Bacterial small subunit ribosomal RNA
Source: RNAcentral